CUCGUAGGCGGUUUGUCGCGUCGUCUGUGAAAUUCUGCAGCUUAACUGCAGGCGUGCAGGCGAUACGGGCAGACUUGAGUACUACAGGGGAGACUGGAAUUCCUGGUGUAGCGGUGAAAUGCGCAGAUAUCAGGAGGAACACCGGUGGCGAAGGCGGGUCUCUGGGUAGUAACUGACGCUGAGGAGCGAAAGCGUGGGUAGCGAACA
This 207-nucleotide ribosomal RNA is filed under the name uncultured bacterium. RNAcentral's name for it is "partial 16S ribosomal RNA". It matches the Rfam family "Bacterial small subunit ribosomal RNA", at positions 568 to 774 of the family's 1533-position model. The record is from RNAcentral.